RNAcentral lists this ribosomal RNA (750 nucleotides) under uncultured bacterium. RNAcentral describes it as "bacterial SSU rRNA". It matches the Rfam family "Bacterial small subunit ribosomal RNA", at positions 44 to 785 of the family's 1533-position model. The record is from RNAcentral.
GAGAAACUUACAUGCAAGUCGAGGGGCAUCGGGAGGGAAGCUUGCUUUCCUUGCCGGCGACCGGCGCACGGGUGACCAUUACGUAUGCAACCUGCCCUCUUCAGGGGGACAACCUUCCGAAAGGGAGGCUAAUCCCGCGUAUAUCGGUUUCGGGCAUCCGGGAUCGAGGAAAGAUUCAUCGGAAGAGGAUGGGCAUGCGGCGCAUUAGCUUGACGGCGGGGUAACGGCCCACCGUGGCGACGAUGCGUAGGGGUUCUGAGAGGAAGGUCCCCCACACUGGUACUGAGACACGGACCAGACUCCUACGGGAGGCAGCAGUGAGGAAUAUUGGUCAAUGGGAGAGAUCCUGAACCAGCCAAGCCGCGUGAGGGAAGACGGCCCUAUGGGUUGUAAACCUCUUUUGUCGGAGAACAAAACCCGGGACGUGUCCCGGACUGCGUGUAUCCGAAGAAAAAGCAUCGGCUAACUCCGUGCCAGCAGCCGCGGUAAUACGGAGGAUGCGAGCGUUAUCCGGAUUUAUUGGGUUUAAAGGGUGCGUAGGCGGUCCGUUAAGUCAGCGGUAAAAUUGCGGGGCUCAACCCCGUCGAGUCGUUGAAACUGCCAGACUUGAGUUGGCGAGAAGUACGCGGAAUGCGCGGUGUAGCGGUGAAUUGUAUAAUUAUCACGCAAAACUCCGAUUGUUAUUGUUUUUACCUGUUGUUUUAUUAGACCUGAAGAACCCAGCCGUGCCGUUAAUUAUUGAUCAUUUAC